CGGAUGACCUGUGGCUGGGGGUGAAAGGCCAAUCAAACCGGGAGAUAGCUGGUUCUCCCCGAAAGCUAUUUAGGUAGCGCCUCGUGAACUCAUCUCCGGGGGUAGAGCACUGUUUCGGCUAGGGGGCCAUCCCGGCUUACCAACCCGAUGCAAACUGCGAAUACCGGAGAAUGUUAUCACGGGAGACACACGGCGGGUGCUAACGUCCGUCGUGAAGAGGGAAACAACCCAGACCGCCAGCUAAGGUCCCAAAGUCAUGGUUAAGUGGGAAACGAUGUGGGAAGGCCCAGACAGCCAGGAUGUUGGCUUAGAAGCAGCCAUCAUUUAAAGAAAGCGUAAUAGCUCACUGGUCGAGUCGGCCUGCGCGGAAGAUGUAACGGGGCUAAACCAUGCACCGAAGCUGCGGCAGCGAC
RNAcentral lists this ribosomal RNA (413 nucleotides) under Cronobacter sakazakii. RNAcentral's name for it is "partial 23S ribosomal RNA". It matches the Rfam family "Bacterial large subunit ribosomal RNA", at positions 801 to 1212 of the family's 2925-position model. The record is from RNAcentral. Lineage: Bacteria; Pseudomonadati; Pseudomonadota; Gammaproteobacteria; Enterobacterales; Enterobacteriaceae.